RNAcentral lists this long non-coding RNA (25351 nucleotides) under Malus domestica (apple). Its description in RNAcentral is "long non-coding RNA (MDOM_LNC016400)". The record is from RNAcentral. Lineage: Eukaryota; Viridiplantae; Streptophyta; Magnoliopsida; Rosales; Rosaceae.
CCCUAGUUUAGUAGAGCACAAAAUGCCUAUCAAGGAAGGGUACAAACCUAUGAAGCAAGCUCUAAGGAGAAUGUCGAAGGAGAUAGAAGAAAAGGUCAAAGAAGAGAUCGAGAUACUGGUAAAAGCUGAAUUUAUUAGGCCUGCUAAGUCUGUCGAGUGGUUGGCCAACAUUGUACCUGUAUUAAAAGCUAUAACUAAUGUCAUCCGAUGUUGUGUCGACUAAGCCACACCUAAAGAUGAAUACCCCAUACCUAUGGCUGACCUGUCCAUAGAUGUAGUUGCAAAACACAAAGUUCUAUCUUUUAUGGAUGGGAAUACUGGUUAUAAUAAAAUAAAAAUGGCUAAUGAAGAUAUUCAUAAGAUAACUUUUAGGUGCUUGGGAUAUGUACGAGCAUAUGAAUAUGUUGUCAUGCCGUUCAGGCUCAAAAAUGCUGGUGCCACCUAUUAAAGGGCAAUAAACGCCAUUUUUCAUGAUUUAAUUAGUCAUAACAUGGAGGUAUACAUUGAUAAUUUACUAGUAAAGUCAAAAACUAAAAAGCAACACUUAGAAGACCUCAGACAAGCCUUCGUGAGAAUGAGGACCCAUAAGUUAAAAAUGAAUCCCAACAAAUGUGUUUUUGGAGUCAGAUCGGGUACCUUUUUGGGAUUCCUUGUUCAUUAAAGAGGAGUGAAGGUAAACAAAAACAAACCUCGGGCCAUAAUGGAAUCGUCUUCCCCCACCAAUAAAGUACAAUUGCAAAGGCCACUGGGGAAGAUCAACUUCUUAAGGAGAUUCAUUGCUAACUUGGCGGGCAAGACCCAACCAUUGACUCCUUUACUAAGACUGAAAAAUCAAGAAGAGUUUAAGUAAGGGCCAAAAUACCAAGAGGCUUUUGACAAAAUGAAAGCUUACCUAGCCUCUCCACCAAUGCUUAUGCCUCAUUAGAGGAGGAAACCUUAAUAGUUCUAUAUCUCUGCCUUGGAAAAGUCAAUAUGAAGCUUAUUGGCUCAAAACAAUGAAGGAGGGAAGGAAUCAGCAAUAUACUACCUCAGUAAGAUCCUUACUAAGGUAGAAACAAGAUAUACCCCAAUUAAGACAUUAUGUUUGGCUUUAUAAUUCAUUGUCUGCAAGCUAAAGCAUUACAUGUUGCCUUGCCAGCCAAGACUGGUGUGAUCAAGUAUAUGCUGGGAAAUUGAUUCCAGCACUAUUAGAGUUCAACUUCCACUAUGUACCCCAAAGAGCAAUAAAGAGGCAAGCAAUUGUAGACUUCUUGACUGAGCACUAAAAGUCACAGGAUGAACUUGUCAACAUCCUAAGAACUCUGGAAAUAGCUAGUGUAAGGAUCCCUCAAAAUAAAGAUCAUUCGAGCAAGGAAGAAUGGAUUUAGCAAAAAGUAAAGAGAAUAGCAAGCCUAUGGAUCACUCUUUGGAAGUUGUAUUUUGAUGGGUCAUGUAUUUAGCAUGCUGUUGGAGCCGGGAUUGUCAUCGUUGAUCCCAAGGGAUUUCAGCAUUACUACUCAUUCAUUCUUGAUUAUCAAGAUACUAUCAACAAUCGGGCAGUGUACGAGGCAUUGAUUAUUAGCUUGGAAAUCCUGAUAGAGCUAGGGGCAACUGAAGUUGAGUUGUUUGGUGAUUCAGAAUUGGUGAUUAAUCAGCUUAAUAGAGACAACAAGUGUAGACGCAUCACAAUAGCUGGUUAUUAUUUGGCAACCACUCAAUUAUUGAGUUAUUGGGGCACUAAAGUGUCAGUCAAUCAUAUUCUUAAAGACCUAAAUUUAAUUGCUAAUGAGAUGGCACAGUUGGAUUCUGGAGCACAGAUCUAAGAAAUAAGGUUCGAGGUGGAUGUGGAACUACAAAGAAAAAAUCUCCCUUCUAUCUUUGAAAUAGGGUUCAGCUUAGAUAUAAUGACUAAAGAAGCUGAGAUAGAAGAUUAGAGAACACCCAUCAUCCAGUACUUGAAAGACCUUUCUUCUCCCACAAGUAAGAAAAUUAGGCAACAAGCAACUAAGUUUGUCAUGUGGGAUAGAACUCUGCUAAGAAAAACUCCAGAUGGAUUCCUAUUAAAAUGUUUAGGCUUGGAAGAGUCAAUGAGAGUGAUGGCUGAAGUGCAUGAAAGCAUUUGUGGAGCACAUCAAGCUGGAACCAAGAUAAGGUGGUUGUUGGGAAAAUAAGGCUAUUUUUGGCCCGAUAUGGAGAAGGAUUGUAAGGUUUAUGCCCGAAGGUGUGAAGAAUGCCAAAGGCAUGAACCUCUCUAAUACAUAUCCUUAGUAUUCUCGAAUCCAGUGGGUAAUGGACUUCAUCGGGCAAAUUUACCCAGCUUCUAGUAAGGGGCAUACUUUCAUAAUUGUGGCAACAGACUACUUCACCAAAUGGGUAUAAGCUUCAACUGUUAGACUAUCACUUCAGCUGUUGUGAAGAAAUUUAUUGAAACCAAGAUCUUACACAGAUAUGGGGUGCCCGAGACAAUUGUUAUAGACUGAAGGCCAUCUUUUAUCUCGAAAGAAGUAGAAAAAUUUGCAAACAAGUUUAAGAUAAAGAUGAUCCAAUCUAGCCCUUAUUACCCCCAAUCAAUGGUCAAACAGAAGCUAACAAUAAAAUCUUGGUAAAUAUUAUUAAGAGAAUGGUAGCAGAUAGCCUGGAGAAGUGGCAUGAGAAGUUAAGAGAUGCUCUGUGGGCUUACAGAACCUCAAAGUGGGUAGGAACUGGAACCACCCUUUAUGCUUUAACCUUUGGGCAAGAUGUUAUACUCCCUAUGGAAAUCAAUGUAAGUUCUGUCAGGCUUCAAAACCAGUUUGGCCUACAUAAUGAAGAAUACAUUCAAGCUAUGUGUUAAUAGAUUGAAGAUUUAGAUGCAACCCAAAUUCUAGCCUUGAAUAAAAUCCAAGAAGGGAAGAAGGUUGUUGCCCAAGCAUACAACAAGAUAGUGAAGUUAAAGGCCUUCAAUGAGGGAGAGUUAGUAUGGAAGACAGUGUUACCCUUGGGAGCUCAAGUUAGAGGUUUUGGGAAGUGGAGUCCCACUUGGGCAGAUCCUUUCAUUAUCAACCAAGUGUUUGAUAGAUGAGGAUAUUACUUGGCAGAUUUAGAAGGAAACUUGCAAAGGCAUUAAUGCUAAGUUUUUGAAAAUAUAUCACCCAACUUUGUGGGAUGUUAGAGAUUAUUGUAUUGAGGAAGUCUAAGCAUUUUAAGGGUUGAAGUUAGUUUAUGCAUCUACCACAGUUAAGGUUUAAAGUAAAAAUAAGACAAGUUGGAAGUGAAGAAGGAAGUUUCAUUUUUUUGCAUCGAAUAAAUAAGUUAAAAAGUCAUUGCCAAACAAUUUUACAUCUUUAACCAAUGCAGCUAUCCUAGAGUGAUAGGUCUGCAUGACCGUGAAAAUUUGGCCUGGCUCUUCUAAGGCAAUGUUACUGUUGGCUAAUUGAGCUUCGGCAUCCUUUACUUCCAGAUUAACUUUCUUCACUUCUUCAAUUUUUUGGUAAAGUUAGCUUAAAAGGGUCAUCUGCUCGACCUUCAGUGCAAAUAACUGCUCUUCCAACUUUUGAAUCUCGGAGGCCACCACCAAGAUCCUGUCCUUCAUGGACAAGCCUCUCAUCCACCAGCUGCUGCUGAGAAAUAUAAGUCUUGAGAUGCUUCUCUUUAAAGCACUUGAUUAUAUUCAAUUGUCUCUCUACCUGUUGAUGUUGGUCCCUCAGUGCCCUCCAGUUCUAGAAGAAUGAGAGGAAUGACUCGUAUUGGAGGGGGCAUCACUCCAGUACCCCUAGAAGCUGCUUCAGUUUGAAGUGAGGGAUGAGGCCUAGAAGUGGAGGUGGCAACGACAACAGUCGUCUUCUGCCAAAGCUUAGGGAUCCCUAUAACUCCAGAGGGAGAAGAAGAGAUAUGACUUUUAUACCUAAGCUGAACCUUGAAUAGUGGAAGGGGGCACCUUUGUGGUCGUAGUUGUCUUGGGAGAAGAAGGUGGACUGGCCCGAGAAGCAGCCUGAGGAGCCCGCGAGCUAGUCACUUCUAAAACCAUGGGGAUCUCAAUGACUAUUAGGUCCCCAAAAGUUAUUGGUGGUUGCUUAGUGGCCUCGUGCACUGGAAAUGACUGAUAAAAGAAGAAUAUAGAGUAACCUAAGGAAAAUUCAAAAGAAAGCCUAGAAGAACUUAAGAAGAAGAGUGCUUACUGAAGUACUAUCAUCUUCAAUGUAGUGCAGCAUCUCCUCAGUCUUUGGGGUGGGAAGUGGGAGUUGCCACUAUGGGAGGAGGAAGAGUUGAAGAGGUAGGAGCAAAAUUUUACCCUACCUGAAAAGUAGAUGCCCCAACUUUAGCCUGAGGAAAAGAAUAAAGAUGGUGGUUAAUCUUGAAACUUGAAAAAUCAUAAACCAGGAUUAGGAAAUAUGAUACCUUUGAGGGCUUGGCCCGACGAUGGGAAAGAUGCACUGCUCGAGCAAGAGGAGAAGAAACCUCAGGCUGGGAUAUCUCUUUGCCUCUAGUAUCCUAUUUCAAGUAAACAAAGAGUUAGCACGAGUGUUAAAGAAAAUGAAUUUCAAAAGUAACCCAGUACUUAAGAAAAUGAAGGCUAUACCUUCAACUCCUCAAGGAUUUUAUCGAGGACUGCCUUAUCCUCUGGCUAGACUUCUUUGCCCAACUGCUUAUCUGAAGGAAUAGGGGCAGGUUUCUUAGUUGCUGAAGGCCUUGAUUACAAGAAAAGAAGGGGGUGUUAGUUCAUGCCCCACGAUAAACUGAAAACUAAAAUUGAGAAGAAAAAAAAUGACUAAGGCUAAGAUCACUAACUGAAGGAUUUUUGCUUUUUCCUACCUGCUUCAGCUGGAUGGGCAGAGGAAGGCUUUAAGGAUUUGGAGGCUUGAGAAGUCUGAGACCCGGUCCUCUUCCUGGUAAGAGUUACCCUAAGGCCAGGCAAAGUAAGACAAGGCUGAAGCCGCUAUUCAGGCUUGAACUCUGGUGACUUUACCAUGGUUACCUUUGCCUGCCAAGGUACACGAGUCUCCACUUCAGGCUUAGCCUUAGCCUUUGAGCCUGUAUAGAGGUCGGAGAUGUCUCUAGUGUCUCUAGCAGCUUGGCUGGACCCCGCCUCUUACCUUGCUACCUUAGUGGUGGCCUCUUGAAGGAUAAAUGCGUCUGCAACUUCUUUUUCUUGCCCGACAUCCACUUCUUCAGCAUUGCCUUGGGCUAUGAGAUCAGAGUGAAAGUUAAUAAACAACAGACUAUGAAAACAUCACAAAAGAGAAGACAAAAUUAAUAAGGUAUACCUAUAAGAAGAAGCCGGUUCUUCUGGUUGAUCACAUUCUUCUAGUUCUCAAGUUCCUCCUUCUUUGGGUAAGAUUUGAAGAAGAGCUAUCCGAAUAGCCAAUCGUGGACUUUCAUAAGAUCUCUUUCGUACUUCUUUUGCCACUUGGCCUCUCACCAAGUGGCAAAAGAAGGAGUGCAUUCAAAAUUUAGAGCCACGUGCUUAUGGGCAAUGCGGCUCAUCAUUUCUAUGUUGUGCCGAGCUGUCUGGAAUGUCACAUCGACGGGAGAGCGAAUGCGGAAAUAGGUUCCACAGUGCAUGUAGUUAAAGUAGAGCAUUGGGAUCAAGUGCCUAAAUCCUAGCUGUCUACCACAAAAAUUAUGAUGGUAGACCUUUAGCUCGCGCUCGUAGCCCAUGCGGUCGCUUCGCACUACCCAAGCCAGGUCUCGUUGUUGGAUGUAACUUACAAAUUUCUCCUUGUAGGUCUCACUUUUUUGGAAAAUCUGGUUCGAGAACCAUGGGUACCUCUUAAGCAUAGAGGCACCCCACUCCAAGUCUGCCCAAGUUCAACAGAUUCUGAAAAAAAAAUAUAGUCAAACUAGAGUUCAAUGGUUUGUAGGAGAAGCCUCGGCCAAGAUACGAGAUAGAGCCACUCCUUCAGGGAACUCCAAGUUGGGCGCCCGAAACUCAGGGAAGUACCACUAGAGCCAUAACUGGACCAUCUAGGUUAGCUCGAUGAGAUUGGUCUCGAAGGGCUCGCCUCUGGUCACCUUGUAAAGGAGGUGAUAGAGGUGGGCAAGGAGGAAAGGCCCCAUGGCCACUUCAUCGAGGGAAUGAAGGGCCUCCACCAAGGGGAUCCACUUCAGCUUCACUCAUUUGGAUUUGUUUAGGAACACAUGCUUGUUCAACCAAUAUAGGAAGAAGUACAUGUGUUCUUGGGACUUAUCUGUAGUGGAUGAGGGCGGGCUGAAUGUUUUCUUUGAGAAUGGGAUAAAGUCCGCGAAGGACAUGCCAUAGCUUUUGAAGGUGGAAGAAGUUUACUCUAGGCAAGAAAUGGACUCAAAAGAGCCUGAGCUUUCAGAAGUUAGGCUAAAAAGUGAAGACUAAUCAUGGGUAAUGUCCAUGCACCUACCUGAGGGCCUUAGCCCGAAAACCUAAGCCAUGUUAAAGAUCAUGGGAGACAUGGGACCCAUUUUAAAAUCGAAUGUGUUGGCCCCAUUGUUCCAGAAGAGAAGAGCUGUGGUCAGCAGCUCAGGCUUAGCAAUCACCGUGACCUUGGAAAGCAUGAUAAGCUCAUAGAUUCCAUUGGUCAUUCACUUCCAGAUAGGCUCGAGCUUGUCCACCCAAUGUGACCAGGCCUCAUCUCUCCUUAGUGGGAAACCCCUUUGAAAGUUGGACCACUUGAAGGUCGAUAUACCAGCUUCAACGAAGUAAGGAUUGGGAGUAAACUAGUUGGCCAAGGCAUGUUAUUCUCCACCUCAAUUAGGACUCAGGCAGUCCAAGCUAGCCCCAAAGAAUGCACUCAUCCUUCCUCAAAAAAAAAAAAAUUGAGGAAUUCAGGCUAGCCUGAGGGCGAUGAAGGCUGGUGAGUUGACGGCACAUGGUGGCGAUGUCCUCACUGGACUCAUAUGCAGGACGAGUUUUAGGUGCCAUUGAUUAAUUGAGUUUUGGGAAGAAAGUGGAGAGGGCUAAAGGCAGAAAGCAAAAAGGAAUUGUGAGGGCAAGGGAAUUCUGGAAAAUCUAGGAACUUUGGAAGCUCAGAAAAUAGGAUUGCUAAAGGUAUUUGGCCAAGAAAUUUAAAUAGAGAUUAUAUAAUAGGUAGUUAGUUAACAUUGGACAUCGUGGGUUAUUGCAAAGGUUUAUUCGAAAAUGGUUGUUUAAAUGGUGCAAGUCCCAAGUUAAAUCAUGCGGCUGGUAUUUAAUCAUUAUUAAGGUCUCGGUUUACAGACUUAACAAAUGAUUAAAGGGUGCACUUUUUGGGUUAAUAUUUAACAUUAGGCUUUGCAUUAGGAAAAAAUCCAAAGGCGCCAAAAUAAGUCAAACUUGUCCAAAGCCCAACAAUGAAGCCUAAAGCAAACUGAAGCUUUUUUAAGCCACUGUGCCUAUGAUGGAAGUGACAAAUGACAUAGACCAACUCAUUAUCAGCCAAAAAACACUUUCUAAAGACAUUACAAGUAAAUAGGCCAUCGGCUAAGAGUAAAGCUAAAGCAGUUGGGCCAAAUUGUCUAUAAAAGGAGAAAGAGACAACAGAGAUAAGGACACUCAACCAACCAAUAAAAAAAACAUACAAACUCUGCUCUCAAGCCAAUUCGUACCCAGAAAGCUUAAACUUGUCCAGAUUCAGUCCUUUUAAAGCUAUAAUUCCCUUAGAAAAACUAUCUUUUAUCUAGUGUAAUAGCUCUGCUACCUUCCCUUGGUGUUGUAGUAUCGAUUCCCUCAUGUAAAACCUAUUUACCAUCCAUCCUUUUUAGCAUACAACCUCUAUAAACUCAAAGAAAAAUGGUUGUAAGAAGUUCGACCUUGCCCAACAAGGUGAAAUCUUGUCUGAGUCUCUUUGUUUGCACUUUAAUUUAGUAGAUAUGUCACUUAAUGGACUUUUUAGCAUGUAUUCAAGCUAUUUCCAACUGUUUUCCAUCUAAGAGUCCCAUUUGCAUUUGAAUCUAUUUAACUUAAUAAACCUAUUUUCAUUAAAAACAAACUGCAUUCGAGGAAAUGGUUAAAAGGGCCCUUAACUCCCUUUGUUGUAAACGUAAAAGAUUAUGAACUAAAAGUUCUUGCUCACAAGGCAAGACAAAGAACUUAAUGUAGACUUAACUCAUCUGUGACAAUCAUUUAAUAACAAGAAGUUUAAGUAACUUGGGGUGUAAGUAAUCAACUUAAAUCACAUAUAUUCAACGUCUGUUAUACUAAGAUAACAGUGGCACGCCAAGAUCCUUGUUAGUUUUGAUUGCGAGCCUUAAUGCCUACACCUAAGGCCCUACAAAGGCACAUUUCAAACUAUCUUUAAACUCUUCUUGCAGCACACCAAGCAGCAAGAGCUCACCCAACAAGACACCAAGUGACAAACCACUAGGGAGCUAUGCAAAGGGAAAUCAUAGCCGAAACCGGAUGAUUGUGCAUAACCUAGUUCCGAAUGGUAUAUGCUAAUUUCCCAUUUCCAUGUCAGGAAAAGCUGAAAUUGGUUGAAUGUCAAAACUAUUGUAAUGCAAUAUUAAAAAUUUGAAAUUGACUUCAAACCUUAAUUAAUAGUACAAAAUGUACUUAUCCCAUUCAUCUGAGUGCAAAAUAUACCUAGGGGUUGUAUCGAGUUUAAUGAAUUUUAUUUGACUCUCAAAUCUAAGUGUAGUCAAUAUACAUUGUAAACACAAAAAUCGUGUGACAAAUGAGACAAGAACACGUGUACAAAGAAUAUUAUUUGUAUUAAUGAAUUUGUAGGGUUACAAUCUCUUUACAACUUGAUCCUUUUAUUUGAUCUCCGAAAUGUGUAGAUGUGUAAUGUUGUUGAUCCAAUGGUCACGAUGACUUGAUCUUGGAUGAACGAAUGCCGCAAGGUUUUGGUUCUUGGCAAUGGAGGAACCGGCACGUGUAGGGGUGCUUGGCGGUUCUUCACAGGACUUGACAAAUAACACGAAGGAUUUUUCGAGUCCUCUUGAGUGUGUUAGUGUUUGGGGGGUUUGAGUGCUUGAGAGCUUCAGAAUUUCAAAGAUUCAGCGUCUAGGCGUGAAAUGAUUUCUCUACCUUUUCUUUGUCUUGGAGCCUCCUAUUUAUAGACUUUCCAAGCCUUGACUACGGAUGGAUUUGGCCUUGAUUGUGGGCUUGAUUAAUUGAUGAAAAAACCAAGACUUGAUUUGUGAGCUGGUUCGUGAUUUGACUCCAUCAAUUAACAUUUGAUUUAAUUUAAUUAAAAUCAAAUAAUUCUUUUCCGCCAAGUGUUGACAUGUGUCAUUCUUGAUUACUCGUCCGAUUUUGUUGAGUCGCACGUCAUGUAUACAAUUUGUGCGACAUGUGACACAUGCCACGUAUGCCCUGGCACGUCAAAACUUUAAUGCAUUAGUGAACAUUUCAUUCACCGAAAUUUCGAUGUCUACAUACACUUUGAAGAAAAACUUUUCAGGACUUCUAAAAAGUCUAUAAUAAUUUUGUGGUAUUCAAUUAUGAUUUCUUGUAAGUCUAAAAAAUUUCACAUGUUUUAAAAGAUUUAAAAAACUCGUGGAUUUUGAGUGCUUUAAUAGUAACCUUUUGUCAUAGCAAAUCUAACAUAUCGCCUUAAGAUUUUGAUGGAUUUCAUUUCUAAUGAGAUUUUCUACCAUUCACGAUUAUGUAACGACUAUCGUUAUCACCACAUUCCACCACCAUGUCGUCACCCCAACACCACCACCCUCAUCUCCUCCACCACCCCAACACCACCCCGCCAUCACAAUCACCACUCCUACUAUUAUCGCUACCACAUAGACAACAACUUUACUAACCAUCUUCCAAACAAUCAUCACGUGUUAUUCCACCAUCAUCGCUGCAACCACCACCUCAGAAGACUACUAUAUUAUGGUCACGAUCACUAUUUCAUUAAUGAAACUCAUCUAUAAUAAGGCUCAUUUAAAUUGGUCAGUAAAAAGUUCAUGACAAUCCACAAAAUUUAAAAAAAAAAAAUUCUAUGAACUCUCUAAAAUUAGGCAAAACUCUGUCAUUUAACUCCUUUAUUUUCCAAAAAUAUAUGAUUAAAACUCUAUAAAAUUUUGGAGAGUUUGUAGUCAAUAAAAAUAUACUAAAUUUGUAAAACUUAUUACUUUAAAAACUCAACAAAAAUCCAAAUGAAUAUUAAUACACUAAAAUCUUGUUAGCCCAUUCCUUUGUUUUUUUUUUAACAUACGAUAUUAUCUACACUAAGGGAAGGUGGGUAGGUUUAAUUUCACAAUGGACUAGUAAUAAUGUGAUUCAACUUCGACUUUGGCAAGAAUCAAACCUAAGAAUACUCACUUAUAAGUGGAGAUGAAUACCACUAUACUGUAGUAUUAAGUAACUCAUUCCUCUUUUUAAUCCAACUACUGUCAUUUGGAGUGCAUUAUGUGGUCCAAUUUUUGUUUUAUUUUUAAUUUUUGUUACAAGCACGGAAACAUUAAGGAAAGAAGGUUUGAACUCAUAACCUAAUGAGUUUGAAAUGCCCUAUGUACCAGUUCAAUUCACCACUUACCUAUAUGAACCAAAUUAAGAACUUCAUAUAGUUUUCUCUUUCUGAAAUUUCAACUUUUUAAUCCUCUUAAAAAGCUUUUUAUAUUAAUUUAUAUCUAUGGAGAAAAUCUGCCCCGAAUUAAUUUUAUUGUCAUGUGUUGUCAGUCUUGCCUUCAGUCAAGAAAAUAGUGCCCUGCUUUCCAACGGAGGUAGAAAUUAUGGCACUAGGACACAACAAAAUUAUCAAAAAUUGUACCUUUCAUUUAUAGUUCUACAUAGGUGUUUGCCUUUCUUCUCAUCAUAUGUUUGGGUUCCGCACCGAGAGGAAGAAAUUCAAACCGUUGGUGUCAUAGUCACCUAUUGACCCCACCCUCCCUCCGGUGCUGCUGCUUUCUUUCUUUCUUAUCUUCAAGAACCUGUUAUCCUUUAUUUUGGAAUCUAUUUUUAGCUAGGCGAUGCUAUUAUGUUGCUCCGUCUUUGUAGAACAUGGUUAAUUUUGUGUUCUCAUUUGCCCUUAUGGACACAUUGAUACAUCACACUAAUUACGUCACAAACAUAUCACAUCACUAAUUAAUGUGAAUCACUGAAUAUAAAGAACAAAAUAUAACCUUCAAAACAAGAACUCAUAGCCCUAAAGAAAAACCCUUCCCGCGUUCCCGUCUUUGGCCUUGUAGUCGGCAGUAAUCUUUCUUGAUCUCUUACUUCUUUUUCUCUCUCCAAUUUCAUUCGAGCAGAGUCUUUCUGGUUGUAAUCGCUCUCUCGCUUUGUCGAUGAGAAUUUCAUGAUUGUGGUCGUAAUCAUGACUUUGAAAUGUGUGACCUCUUGAAUUGCUUUAAGGAUCACAUUUUUUAUAUGUGUUCUUGAUUAUAUUCUUAAUGAAAUUUCUUUUGAUAAAAAAAAAUGUGAAUCGCGAAAUAAAUUUUCAUCAUUUACGAACUGUCACUUUUUAUAAAUUAAUUUGAGACCAGGAAGAAUCUGGCGUAAUUAUUUUUGAUAAGCAAUGCAAGUUGGUACAUUUAUAUUUGCAUCCAGGAUUAUGAUUCACACACCCAUUUAUGUUCAUAUACAACAGUAAAAAAAAUAAAUUUUCAUUUUAUACAAAACACCUAUCUAACCUUCAAAACAUUUAAGGGUAAAUGCAUUUUGCAUCCUCAAGUUUGAGUGCAAUUGCAAUCUCAUAUAUCAUCUUUAUAAUUCAUACACAAAAUUAUAAUUAUGUAGCAAUGUCUUACAUCCGUUAUUCAUUAUGUUUUUUGAACUGUUAAAUUAUGACUUGGCUAUAAUAAACUUAUAUUUAUGAUGAUGUGCCAUAGAAGACUUGAAAUAGGGAAUUUCAUGCCCAUAUUCAGGUACCAGGGUUGGACUCUGGUACAUGGCGCUCUGGGUAAGACGAUUCUGGUAGUGGUGCCAAGAUGUUAGCACUAGCUUCUCCUUGAAUUUUGCUUCUGCUCAAAAUAUCUUGGCGGUGGCGAGUUGCCUGAUAAUUGGAGGCUCAGAGAAGGUGUUAUAUUUGGUGGCUAGAACUGGCUUUGCACUGGAAGAUGCCAGAAGAAAAUCAGAGGUACCCGUUCGAAUAUUCACGUUGCUAGCGCUUCUUACAAAAGCCUGUCAUCAUCAAAAAAUAGGCAACAACAACAACAACAACAACAACAAAGCCUUUUCCCACUAAGUGGGGUCGGCUAUAUGAAUCCUAGAACGCCAUUGCGCUCGGUUUUGUGUCAUGUCCUCCGUUAGAUCCAAGUAAUCAAGUCUUUUCUUAGGGUCUCUUCCAAAGUUUUCCUAGGUCUUCCUCUACCCCUUCGGCCCUGAACUUCUGUCCCGUAGUCACAUUUUCGAACCGGAGCGUCAGUAGGCCUUCUUUGCACAUGUCCAAACCACCGGAACCGAUUUUCUCUCAUAUUUCCUUCAAUUUUGGCUACUCCUACUAUACCUUGGAUAUCCUCAUUCCCAAUCUUAUCCUUUCUCGUGUGCCCAUACAUCCCACGAAGCAUCCUCAUCUCCGCUACACCCAUUUUGUGUACGUGUUGAUGCUUCACCGCCCAACAUUCUGUGCCAUACAACAUCGUUGGCCUUAUUGCCGUCCUAUAAAAUUUUCCCUUGAGCUUUAGUGGCCUACGACGAUCACACAACACGCCGGAUACACUCUUUUGAUAAAAAAAAAUGUGAAUCGCGAAAUAAAUUUUCAUCAUUUACGAACUGUCACUUUUUAUAAAUUAAUUUGAGACCAGGAAGAAUCUGGCGUAAUUAUUUUUGAUAAGCAAUGCAAGUUGGUACAUUUAUAUUUGCAUCCAGGAUUAUGAUUCACACACCCAUUUAUGUUCAUAUACAACAGUAAAAAAAAUAAAUUUUCAUUUUAUACAAAACACCUAUCUAACCUUCAAAACAUUUAAGGGUAAAUGCAUUUUGCAUCCUCAAGUUUGAGUGCAAUUGCAAUCUCAUAUAUCAUCUUUAUAAUUCAUACACAAAAUUAUAAUUAUGUAGCAAUGUCUUACAUCCGUUAUUCAUUAUGUUUUUUGAACUGUUAAAUUAUGACUUGGCUAUAAUAAACUUAUAUUUAUGAUGAUGUGCCAUAGAAGACUUGAAAUAGGGAAUUUCAUGCCCAUAUUCAGGUACCAGGGUUGGACUCUGGUACAUGGCGCUCUGGGUAAGACGAUUCUGGUAGUGGUGCCAAGAUGUUAGCACUAGCUUCUCCUUGAAUUUUGCUUCUGCUCAAAAUAUCUUGGCGGUGGCGAGUUGCCUGAUAAUUGGAGGCUCAGAGAAGGUGUUAUAUUUGGUGGCUAGAACUGGCUUUGCACUGGAAGAUGCCAGAAGAAAAUCAGAGGUACCCGUUCGAAUAUUCACGUUGCUAGCGCUUCUUUUACAAAAGCCCUGUCAUCAUCAAAAAAAUAGGCAACAACAACAACAACAACAACAACAAAGCCUUUUCCCACUAAGUGGGGUCGGCUAUAUGAAUCCUAGAACGCCAUUGCGCUCGGUUUUGUGUCAUGUCCUCCGUUAGAUCCAAGUAAUCAAGUCUUUUCUUAGGGUCUCUUCCAAAGUUUUCCUAGGUCUUCCUCUACCCCUUCGGCCCUGAAACUUCUGUCCCGUAGUCACAUUUUCGAACCGGAGCGUCAGUAGGCCUUCUUUGCACAUGUCCAAACCACCGGAACCGAUUUUCUCUCAUAUUUCCUUCAAUUUUUGGCUACUCCUACUUUACCUUGGAUAUCCUCAUUCCCAAUCUUAUCCUUUUCUCGUGUGCCCAUACAUCCCACGAAGCAUCCUCAUCUCCGCUACAAGCCCAUUUUGUGUACGUGUUGAUGCUUCACCGCCCAACAUUCUGUGCCAUACAACAUCGUUGGCUUUUGCCUUAUGCCGUCCUAUAAAAUAAUUUUUUCCCUUGAGCUUUAGUGGCCUACGACGAUCACACAACACGCCGGAUAUACACUCUUACACUUCAUCCAUCCCAGCUUGUAUUCUAUGGUUGAGAUCUCCAUCUAAUUCUCCGUUCUCUUACAAGAUAGAUCCUAGGUAGCGAAAACGGUCACUUUUUGUGAUCUUCGCCAUAUUGCUCCGGUCAUUAGUGUGGAUAAGUAUAUAAAUGGAUAGAGAGAUAGGAAAGCAAACACAAGAUGUACGUGGUUCACCCAGAUUGGCUACGUCCACGGAAUAGAGGAGUUCUCAUUAAUUGUGAAAGGUUUACACAAGUACAUAGGUUCAAGCUCUCCUUUAGGGAGUACAAGUGAAUGAUUUAGUACAAAUGACAUUAGGAAAUAUUGUGGGAGAAUGAUCUCGUAACCACGAAACUUCUAAGUACCGGAGUGUGGUAUCGUCUUGACUUUCCUUAUCUGUCUCAUAGGUAGAUGUGGAAUCUUCUCUGGAAGUACUCUUCCUCCAUCCAGGGGUGGUAUCUGUAACUGGUGGAGAUGCACAAGGUAAUGUAUCAAUGUCACUUGAAGCUUACUUGUAGUUUCAGGCUUGGUCAAGCGCGAUACAAACCAUGUAGUAGGAGUCCCCCAAGUCGCCGAGCUAGGAGAUCUGCUGAAAGAGGUAACAGACAAGGUAAGCAAUCAGAGCUCCGGCUGAUUGUUCACAUUCUCCCUAUCUUGCAGGCAGCAUGAAGGAUAAAGAGAAGAAAAAUGAGAAGAGAUGAUAUGGGAUACUUUUGCUUUUGAAGAAGUAACUUUCCACAGGCUUAUUCUUGAACUGGGCUGGAGGGUUUUCUGGUUUCCUCCAAAGUAUAAGGCCGACUGAAGAAUUUGAGGGUCAAAACAAGUCCAUCAAAUCUAGAGUACGUUCGACCCUGCUGAUAUGGGAUACUUUUUCUUUUGACAGAGUAGUGGAUGUAUCGGCACGUGUGCUGUUACGCUUGUCUCCACAUGCUUCCUUGUAUCCUUCUCACUUGCUCUAUCUGUUCCUCAGGCAGAUGCGGUAUCUUCCCUGGAAGCAUAAGAUGUUGAAGAUGAGUACUCGAGAGCAAUGCCAGGGUAGGGGGUUCCAGGCAGUCAGUUCCUGGCUGGAAGCUUGAUUCCAAGUGCUGACGAAUUGCUCUCUUCUCUUGUCUUGCAGGUAAGAACAAGGCCAAAGGAAAAGACAGGGAAAAAGCAUGAUAUGGGAUACUCUUGCUUUUAACCCUGAUGAUAUGAGAUAUUCUUGCUCUAGUAUAGCUUGUUUACAGAGGUAUUAUCGGGGGGAAAGAAAGCUGAAUAUUUCGAAAGGCUUCGUUGGGAGUGCCCUCUCAGAUAAGAGGAAUGGUUGAGCAUUUUUGCAGGUCUGCCUGUCCGUUGGGGAUGGAGGUCGACAUAUAUAGGAGUCUCCCUAACAUCAAGUAAUAAUGCUAUUCCUUUACCCUGCUUGGUCAUAGCACGGUAGUGGGAGCUGCCAGCUUCACAAGUUUUAACUCUGUCAGAGCACUUUGAAAAAAGUGGUCUGUGGUAUCUGGAAAAUGCUGAUGAAGAUUACAGACAAGCUUUAUCCAAGGAGAUCCGGCUCUUGAAGUUGGGAAAGUGGUGCCUCUUUCGGUUUUCGAACAAGCAAUCAUGUCGGGAUCUGGCUCUCGAGAUUCGGAGAACGAUGCCUCUUCGAUUUUUGAGAAAGCAAUCAUGCUGGGGGUGUGGCUCUCGAGAUUCGGAGAGCGGUGUCUUCGAUUUUUUUGAGUAAUCAUGUUGGGAGUCUGGCUCUCGAGAUUCGGAGGGCGGUGCCUCUUCGAUUUUGGAGCAAGCAAUCUUGUUGGGAGUGUUUCUCGAAUAUGAGUAAAGGUUGGGCAUGUUUGCUAGUCUACCUUGCCACGAAGCACAGAGGUUGACACACAGGGACUAAUCCAGUGGUACUGUUCCUGGCUCUCGAGAUUCGGAGGGCGGUGGAAAGUAAUUCGGAUUUUGGAGCAAGCAUCUUGUUGGGAGGUGUUUUCUCGAAUGUGAGUAAAGGUUGGGCAUGUUUGCUAGUCUACCUUGCCAUGAAGCACAGAGGUUGACACACCGAGACUUUCUAAUUAUCCAGCAGUGGUACUGUUCCUUUACCCUUGUGGGUAAUAAUAUGGUAGCUAGGCCUUCAAAAUUUAUGUGUCUAAACUUUGUUAGUGUUGUUUCUUUGCUAUUCUUUUACCCUUCUUGGUCAGAGCGAUGUAGUGAGAGUUGCAAGCUUCACGUGUCUCGACUUUGUCAGAGAGAACUUUGGCAAAGUUAUAUGUGGUACCCAUGAGCUACUGUUGCGUGUGGGAAGUGGGUGAUUGAACAGUACGAUUCAUGUGCUUUCUACUUCGCCAGAAAUCUUCGACAGAAUGCCCAUAAUUUCCGCAAAGCUGAGUGUGCGUGUGACAGGUGCUGACAAGGCUGGAAAAGUAGUCUCAACUUUGUCAGAGAACUUUGGCAAAGUUAUAUGUGGUACCCAUGAGCUACGUGUGCGUGUGGGAAGUGGAUGAUUGAACAGUACGAUUCAUGUGCUUUCUACUUCGCCAGAAAUCUUCGACAGAAUGCCCAUAAUUUCCGCAAAGCUGAGUGUGCGUGUGACAGGUGCUGACAAGGCUGGAAAAGUAGUCUCAACUUUGUCAGAGAACUUUGGCAAAGUUAUAUGUGGUACCCAUGAGCUACUGUUGCGUGUGGGAAGUGGAUGAUUGAACAGUACGAUUCAUGUGCUUUCUACUACUCGCCAGAAAUCUUCGACAGAAUGCCCAUAAUUUCCGCAAAGCUGAAUGUGCGUGUGACAGGUGCUGACAAGGCUGGAAAAGUUGGUGCCUCUUCGAUUUCUGAGAUCGGCCCUCGUGGUCUCUGAGCAGCCCAGCUUUUGAGAAAGCAAACCUCUUCGAUUUCUGAGAUCGGCCCUCGUGGUCUCUGGGCAGCCCAGCUUUUGAGAAAGCAAACCUCUUCGAUUUCUGAGAUCGACCUUCGUGGUCUUUGAGCAGCCCAGCUUUUGAGAAAGCAAACGCCUCUUCGAUUUCUGAGAUCGACCCUCGUGGUCUCUGAGCAGCCCAGCUUUUGAGAAAGCAAACGCCUCUUCGAUUUCUGAAGCUUCGUCGAGUGCAGAUUUUUAUAGAGGCUGACAUUAAGUUCCAAAGCACACUUGAAUAUCCACCAGUAGAAGCUCCAUUCUUGCACUUCUAAGAUCUUGAUUUGUCCGACCUCUUCUCUCUUCUACACCUUUGAAAAUGUCUGGCCCCUCCGACCGUCGUCGUUUUGACUUGAACCUUGUUGAAGAGGCAGCCCCGCCUUCUCCAGACAACAUAUGGCGCCCAUCCUUCGUCUCCCCUACUGGUCCUCUCUUACCGUUGGGGAUUCCGUGAUGAAGAAUGAUAUGACCGCUGCGGUAGUGGCCAGGAACCUUCUCACUCCCAAAGAUAAACAGACUACUUUCCAAACGGUCUGAUGAGUUGGCUGUUAAGGAUUUCUCUGGCUCUUAGUGUUCAGUGUGCAGGUUCUGUGUCUAAUAUGGCCCAACGCCUAUUUGCUCGAAACCCGCCAAGUUGAAUCAUUGGCGGCUGAAGUGAUGAGUCUCAAACAGGAUAUUAGAGGGCUCAAGCAUGAGAAUAAACAGUUGCACCGGCUCGCACAUGACUAUGCUACAAACAUGAAGAGGAAGCUUGACCAGAUGAAGGAAUCUGAUGGUCAGGUUUUACUUGAUCAUCAAAGAUUUGUGGGUUUGUUCCAAAGGCAUUUAUUGCCUUCGUCUUCUGGGGCUGUGCCGCGUAAUGAAGCUCCAAAUGAUCAACCUCUGAUGCCUCCUCCUUCUAGGGUUCUGUCCAGUACUGAGGCUCCGAAUGAUCCCCCUCCGGUGCCUUCUCUUUCUGGGGCUCUACCGACUGCCGAGACUUCUCCUAAGCAACCUUUGUGAAGGCUCCCUCUUGUUUGUUUAUUUUGACUUAAGUAUAUGUACAUAUUUUGUAAUUUUAUCGGGGAUAUCAAUAAAUAAGCUUUCCUUCAUUUCAACGUAUUGUGUUAAAUCACCAAAGCCUUCUUCGCUAAGUUCUUUGAAUUUUCUUUUGUUGAAGCUUGUAUGUUGGAGCUUUGUGAGUGGAGCAUGUAGGUUGAGGUAGUGUUCCCUUAAUUUUCCCGAGCGAGGACAACUUCUCGGUUGGAGACUUGGAAAAUCCAAGUCACUGAGUGGGAUCGGCUAUAUGAAUCUUAGAACGCCAUUGUGUUCUGUCCUGUGUCAUGUCCUCCGUUAGAUCCAAGUACUCUAAGUCUUUUCUUAGGGUCUCUCUCAAAGUUUUCCUGGGUCUUCCUCUACCCCUUCGGCCCUGAACCUCUGUCCCAUAGUCGCAUCUUCUAAUCGGAGCGUCAGUAGGCCUUCUUUGCACAUGUCCAAACCACCGUAACCGAUUUUCUCUCAUCUUUCCUUCAAUUUCGGCUACUCCUAUUUUACCCCGAAUAUCCUCAUUCCUAAUCUUAUCCUUUCUCGUGUGCCCACACAUCCAACGAAGCAUCCUCAUUUGGCAUCUUCUUCGUUUUCAAAAUCCUAUUGAAAAGGUCAGUGAGCCAUGUUAUACCUGUCUCUCCCAAAACUUUCCACACUUCGAUUGGUAUAUCGUCUGGGCCUACUGCUUUUCUAUGCUUCAUCUUCUUCAAAGCUACAACCACUUCUUCCUUCCGGAUUCUACGAUAAAAAGAGUAGUUUCUACACUCUUCUGAGUUACUCAACUCCCCUAAAGAAGCACUCCUUUCAUGUCCUUCAUUGAAAAGAUUAUGAAAAUAACCUUUCCAUCUGUCUUUAACCGCGUUCUCUGUAGCAAGAACCUUUCCAUCCUCAUCCUUGAUGCACCUCACUUGGUUUAGGUCUCUUGUCUUCUUUUCCCUUGCUCUAGCUAGUUUAUAGACAUCCAACUCUCCUUCUUUGGUAUCUAGUCGUUUAUACAUAUCGUCAUAAGCCGCUAACUUAGCUUCUCUCACAGCUUUCUUCGCCUCUUGCUUCGCUUUUCUAUACCUUUCACCAUUUUCAUCGGUCCUAUCCUUGUAUAAGGCUUUACAACAUUCCUUCUUAGCCUUCACCUUUGUUUGUACCUCCUCAUUCCACCACCAAGAUUCCUUUUGGUGUGGGGCAAAGCCCUUGGACUCUCCUAAUACCUCUUUUGCUACUUUUCGGAUACAACUAGCCAUGGAAUCCCACAUUUGGUUAGCUUCCCCCUCUCUAUCCCACACACACUGGGUGAUUAUUUUCUCUUUGAAAAUGGCUUGUUUUUCUUCUUUUUAGAUUCCACCAUCUAGUCCUUGGGCACUUCCAAGUCUUGUUCUUUUUUCUCACUCUUUUGAUAUGUACAUCCAUCACCAACAAGCGAUGUUGAUUAGCCACGCUCUCUCCUGGUAUAACUUUGCAAAUCCUUACAAGUUAUACGAUCCCUUUUCCUCAUUAGAAGAAAAUCUAUUUGUGUUUUUGACGACCCACUCUUGUAGGUGAUCACAUGUUCUUUCCCGCUUCUUAAAGAAGGUGUUGGCUAAGAAGAGAUCAUAUGCCAUUGCAAAAUCCAAGAUAGCUUCCCCAUCCUCGUUUCUCUCCCCAAAACCAUGGCCACCAUGAAAACCUCCAUAGUUGCCUGUCUCCCUGCCCACGUGUCCAUUUAAAUCUCCUCCUAUAAAAUAACUUCUCCGUCUGAGCAAUUCCUUGCACCAAGUCUCCAAGGUCUUCCCAAAAUUUCUCCUUCGAACUCGUAUCCAACCCUACUUGAGGUGCAUACGCACUAAUCACAUUGAUAAGUUCUUGUCCUAUUACAAUCUUGAUUGCCAUGAUUCUAUCUCCUACCCUCUUGACAUCUACAACAUCUUGUGUCAAGGUCUUGUCCACGAUGAUGCCAACACCGUUUCUCGUUCUAUUUUGUGCCCGAAUACCAUAGUUUAAACCCUGAGUUUUCUAGAUCCUUUGCCUUACGCCCAACCCACUUAGUUUCUUGUAGGCACAUAAUAUUUAUCCUUCUCCUCACCAUAACUUCUACUACUACUCCAUAGAUUUUUCCCGUCAAGGUUCCUAUAUUCCACGUUCCUAAACGCAUUUUGCUCUCUUGAACUCUACCCUUCUGUCCUAGCUUCUUCACCCUUCCCCGUCUAAUAGGAUCAAAGUACUUCUUUUGUGUGUCCCGUGUAAAGUUGAUAGGAGCAUAUGCUCCCAAACAACUUUGAGUGGAGUCGUUCGAAAAGAAGUUUCUAUAGCCCCCUUGCUCAUUUAACACUGCAUCUGGGUGCCGAUGGAGAUACAGCGACCCUUGCUCACUUAUCACUGUGCUCGGGCCACACAGCGCGCCACUUACGGGUGACGCCCUAGCUUUAGCGCGAUUUCGUUCUGGAUUCAUUUUCAUAAGGAUUCGACGUGAUCAUGGAGUGCCGGCUGUCGACUACCUGACGCCCUCCCCCUCCUCCUUUAUCCGGGCUUGGGACCGGCAAUGUAAGAUAAACUUACACGGCGGAGUUCAUCAAAAAAUAGGCAUUUUAACAAAAUGUUCAUUAAGAUUGACAUAACUUCUCACUUUGAUCCUUGACAAUAAAAAUCGAUAGAAGUGGUCCAUGAGUUUGGUUUGACAAAAAUACCUUAAAAUGUGGUCAUAUGGUCGUUCAUAUGACAAUUUAACAAGAAUAUUAACAGAUUUUUCACGAAAUAACUAAAAUAAUUUAGGGUGAACAAAUUCAUGGACUACUCGUAUCGAUUUUCAUUAUCAGUUACCAACAUGAGGAGUUAUACCAAUCCUAAAAACUAUUGUGGCUAAAAAGUCACGGAAAUUAUUCACGUGCCUCUUAAAACAUAACGAUCCUAGAAGUGUCGUUUUUCUAUAGAGCUGGGCCACACUUAUCUGCUAAAUUCCGAGAUGAACAUGGUUAUAAAUAGAGGCACUGGGCAGCAAUGAACUGCACGGAACAGCCCACUAGCCCUUGUUCAUAAGCCAUCCUUCUGUGUUCUUCCUUCAGCUUUUUUCCCCAGAGCUAAGCUAGUAAGCCAUUUUCCAUCAACCAUGCUAGGCAUAGCACAAAAUGUGGUGAGCAAGGUGACCUCGGCGGUCGCCACCACUGCUCAGCACAUUGAGGGUGAGCUCAGCCUCUUCACUAUGUCCGACACCAAAAUAUUAGAGCUCAUUUAUGCAACCCACGUCCAUGAGGACGACUCCUUUGAUGUUGAUUCUCUCUUCCUUGUCACUGAAACCAUCAUCAAGCAUUCGACCCAGAUCGUUGAUAGCAUUGUGCAGGUAUGAGAUUGUGUAACAUCUCUAUGUUCUUCCGCGAAUUAAAAGAGAAAUGUUAACUAUAGUCGCUUAAACGCUUAAUGAACGAGGUAGCGCUUGCUUAAGAAGCUCAGAAUAGUCUGUGUGUUUAUAUUGGGAAGACUGUUAGUUAGAGUGAAACGUAAACUAGGGUCUGUUAACUUCAAUUUCCUACCUGACAAUAACUAGUAUAGCUCUUAAUUGCGAUGGCUGUGCUAGAUUCCCUUGCAUUUAUUAAAAAUAAUACUAUGGCACUUGAUAUUUCAGUUGGUUUUGUCCUGAAAAUUGGAAGAGAUGAAGUGGGUAAGUGACGUUUCGUUUGAGUACUUGACAUAUAGAUCCAACGAUUAAGUAGUCGUUUUCAGUCCGAUCUGAGGCAGCAAAUUAACCUAAAGGGGCCCUGGUUCCCAACACUAACGAUUUGCAAUUUGAUAGCUUUUUUGGGGGCAUGCUCGAAAAAUACAAAAAUUCUAUUGAAAAUAGAAUAGUUAUGGAUUUUUAACCAUUAGGUCUUAGUUUUUGUCCAAAUAUCUUACAGUUAAAAAUUUAGAAUAUCGGAUACUCCGAAGCAGCAUAGAAGAUCCCCUAAAAGCAUUGUCGAAUCGGGAGUUAUUGCACUAAACCAAAAGAAGGAAAUAAUUAACUUGAUCUAGAGUCAUAGUUCUAAAAUAUGUUACUGCAAAAUAUGUAGAAGGAAAGUACCAUUCAAUACCUAUGGCAUGUUUUAUUAGCACCUCACGUUUUGUUCAAAUUAUUAGAACAUUGGAUUUCUGCAUCAUUAAAAAAAAUUUGAAAACUAUUUUAUGUCUAACUUUUUAUUAGAAAAUAUUCCUUUUCCGUUAAUGAAAUAUAGAGAAUUUUUUGUAAUAAUUUUAUCAGAACACUUUUCUUAUAAUUAAACUUAACUUUUUACCUUGGGAAAAAAUUAAUUUGGGACUGCUCUUAGAAAUUGAUUUUCUUAAUGAAAUGUAGAGACUGCUCUUAGAAAUUUGUUUUAGAUAAAAACAUGGUAAAUGUUCCACCUCAUAACUUCAAACGAGCUAUUUUUUUCCAAAACAAAAUGAGUUUAGAGCCUUUUAGUACAUUAAGGUAAACGAUUACAAGAUUUACAGUACUACGAACACAGAGGUUGGUAUGUUCCAUUUUUAAGAUACCCAGUCUACCACAAAAGUACUCAUCACAGUAGACAUUAUUGAGCUGGACAAGUUGUUUCACCUUGAUGUUUUCUUUUGAUUUAUCUUCUUUGGCACCUUUUUCUCCUUAGGUUACAAUACAGCUCUUGAACGCUGACUUCUGGACGUUUCCUUCUCCUAUUGAUACUGAUAAUGUUGUUGCCUCUGGACCUCUUUAAUUUUGUAUUUAACAGAAGAGCCACAUACAAUUCUCUGUUGGUAAAUCGGACACGUAUAAAUUAAAAGCUUGAAAAUGAUUUUAUUAAUAAUAAUCUUCACUAAAAUUAGAAGUUUUAAAGAUUUGGAAUCCAAAUCAUUAUCAAAAAGUAAAAAACCAAAUGUAUAAUAUUACUUCUUUCUCCAACAAUAUCUGGUUUCUUUUUUGGGACUAAUCCAACAAUAUCUGAUUAAUGAAGUGAUUAGAAGUAAGAAAUAUCUUGCAAUUAUAUUACUGAGCUGAGUUUAAUUUUAAGUAUCAGCAAACUUCCAAAUGGUGAAUAAUUACUAGUGACUUGUUGCAGGGCACCCAAGUACAUGUUGAAACCAUUGAUGAGAAGCCCCCCAAAGCCACCUUCAGUUCUCCAUUGUGCACUCUCAAGUCCAUUGGCUGUGAGGUCAUUAUUUACAAUAUUGCAUAACAAAUUGAAUAAUUCUUAAUUUUCCUUUCAUUUUUCCAAAAAAAAAAAACAAUUCUUAUAGUUCCUAUAAAAAAAAUCACGGGUUUAAUUAUCUUCAAUUUCUUUCAGAUGUCAUGCAAGCCACCAGGUGAAGAAAUUGCCCACAAGUCAACCUUGGCAAUACUCAACAAGCUCUCAACUUAUUCAUGGGAAGCCAAGGCAGUGCUGGCCUUUGCAGCAUUUGCUUUGGAAUAUGGAGAGUUCUGGCUCCUUGCCCAAACUCAACAGAGUGACCUACUUGCUAAGUCCGUCGCAAUCCUCAAGAGAGUGCCAGUCCUUCUCAAGCCCACGGACCUCCAGAAGCGCAGGCAAGCUAUUGUCGAACUCAACGUCCUGAUCAAGACCACAUUGCAAGUGAUUGAGUGCAUCUUUGAGCUUGAGAAGCUUUCUGCUUAUGAUCCAAAGGAUGUGCCAGCAUUGGCAAUUGCAAUGGAUCACAUACCGGUCGAUGUCUAUUGGUCUAUCAUAACUAUUUUUUCUUGUGCAACUAAGAUCACCCUUCUAACCAGUGAUGAGUAAGUUCUUUAUUUCCAAACCAAUUACCCUGUAUAAGUAUAUAUUUAUGAUCAUUACAAUUUUAAAACAAGUAAUAUUUAUCUGACUUGGUUUCCUGCGUUGUAGAGAGAAGCCAUAUGAUUUGUCCCAAUUUGCUCAAAAAAUCCACUACAUCCUCAACAAGCUUAAGAUACAAUUGUUAAUCUGCAAAAAACAGAUAGGUGAGUACUUGACUACUUGUACUGUUGUACACAUACAUGUUACACUUGAUAUGCAUUGCUGAAAACUAAGUGUUUUCUGUGUAAAACAGAGGAGGCGGAGACGUACCGGAAGCUGAGGAAACUUUUUCAGACCCCUGCCGAAGUUAUGGAGGUUUUCAAGGCCUUGAUUUUCACUAAGGAUACCGUGCAGCCAAUUAUUGAUGGUUCGACUAACAAAACGGUUUGCUCUCAUAGCACGUUACUACUCUUUGAUAAAUUUUACUAUUACCGUUUGUAGUGUAUGUAGCUAAUUAAUGUAAUCAUUGUCAUAAAUUUUUCAAACAGGUUAGCAUUGAUGUGCUGAGGAGGAAGUAUGUGCUUUUGUUCAUUUCCACCCUUGACAUUUCUGAUGAUGACAUUUCGAUUGUCAAACCAGUUUAUGAGGGGACAAAGAAAGACGAUAAGUAUAAGAUUGUGUGGAUCCCUAUUGUGGAGCAAUGGACUGAUGACCUACGAAAGAAGUUCGAGGUCUUGAGGGCCAAGAUGCCAUGGUACACUGUGCAGUAUUUUGCGCCUGUAGCCGGCGUCAGAUUCAUCAAGGAGGAGUGGCACUUCAAGGGCAAGCCCGCUGUGGUAGUGAUGAACCCGCAAGGCAAGGUGGAAAAUACGAAUGCUCUCCACUUGAUUCGGAUUCAUGGAAUGAAGGCAUUUCCUUUUCAUAAGGGAAUAGAAGAUACUCUCACAAAUGACAAAGAAUGGAUCACUCCCAUUGUGAAUGAUAUUCACCCAACCAUACAGACCUGGGUAAUUAAUUCAAUUCAUUUUUCACAAUUCCACAGCAUUACAGCACCAAUUUUAAUUCAAAUUUGUGGGUAUAAUUUUUAUUUCUUUGUUCGAGCAGAUCAAAGAGGAGAAGUACAUCUUCUUCUAUGGAGGCAAAGACAAUGACUGGAUCCAGCAGUUCACAAAGAAAGCAACUACCAUUGCCAAUGACCCCUUCAUCAAGGAAUUGAAGAUCAAUAUUGAGCUAUUUUGUGUUGGCAAGAGCCCGAAAGGCGGAGAAGACCUUGGAAUUCUCGGGAGAUUUUGGAAUGGAAUUGAGAGCUUGUUCUUCACCAAAGUCAACAAGCAAACUGACACUGUGACCAAAGAAGUCCAGAAGCUGCUUUCCUACAAAAAUGAGGGUGGAUGGGCUGUGCUUACUAAGGGGUCCACUGUGGUGGUGAGUGGCCAUGGCUUCACAAUCUUGAAGGUCCUUGACGACUUCGACACAUGGAAGAACUUCAUAAAGGAGAAGGGCUUUGAAUUCUCGUUCAAAGCAUACUACGAGAAGGUGAUUCAGACUAUGAGGCACUGCUGCCGCCUUGACAUCCCGAGCGUUGCUGGAAAGGUCCCGGAGACCAUGAAAUGCCCAGAGUGUCCUCGCACCAUGGAGACAUUCGUGAGCUACAAGUGCUGCCACACUGAUUCUCCCAUCAACGCGCAUCAUUGAAGGGUUUGCUGUUUUGAGUCUACGAGGUCAUCUUAUGACUAUACUACGAGGUUAUGAACUUAUGCGUUGUGUUUGUGUGGUUCGUAGUGUCGUCCUUGGGACUUGAAUAAUGGGCAUUUUCAUUAUUAUGUAAUCUGAUGAUGCCUACCAAUCUGAGUGGUGAGUGUUGUGUGAUGUGUAAGUGUGUCUUACAAUGCAAUUUUAUGUUUUAAGUUUAAUGUUUUCGUAGCACUUUUCGCCCUCGAUCUCAUGGAUAUUUCUUUGAAUUUAUUACAUUGACAUGAUCAAUUGACCUGGUAAA